AAAUUAAGACCCUAGAACAGGCAAAAAAAAAAUCGAAAAAAACCACUGCUUUUGGUGGAUACCUAAGGACUCAAAGAUGAUGAAGGGCGUGUUUACCUGCGAAAAUUUUUGGUGAGUUGGAAAAAAACUUUAAUCCAAAAGUUCCCUAAUGGAGCAAUCCUUAAAACUGCUGAAAAAAUUCAUAAAUCAGUAAGAAAAAACUUAGUGAACUGAAACAUCUUAUUAACUAAAGGAAAAGAAAGCAAACGCCAUUUCCUAAGUAGCGGCGAGCGAAAUGGAAAGAGUCAAAACUGACUUGAUCAGGGUAGUGGGACUUCAAAAAAAAAAUAAAUAAAAAACAUAAAAAACAGCUGAAACCUGUACCAAAGAUGGUGAAAGUCCAGUUUUAUUCGUUUUUUUGUAUUUUUUGUAUUUGUAGUAUCCCAAGUAGCUUGGGACACGUGGAAUCCCUUGUGAAUCGGCGAGGACCACCUCGUAAGACUAAAUACUCUUGAGUCACUGAUAGGGAAAAGUACCGUGAGGGAAAGGUGAAAGAGACCCCCUACCGGGGAGUGAAAUAGAUCAUGAAACCGAAAGCAAUCAAUCUGUGGGAGGAUUUCUGACCACAUGCCUGUUGAAGAAUGAGCCGGCGACUCAUGAUUUUUGGCUUGGUUAAAGUUAAUUUCUGUAGCCUAAGUGAAAACAAGUCUGAAUAAGGCGAAUUUCAUAUGAAUUCAUAUGAGUCAAAAAUUAUGGACCCGAACCCGAGUGAUCUAACCAUGACCAGGAAGAAUCUUGGGUAAAACUAAGUGGAUGUCCGAACCGACCGAUGUUGAAAAAUCGACGGAUGAGUUGUGGUUAGGGGUGAAAUGCCAAUCGAACUCGGAGCUAGCUGGUUCUCCCCGAAAUGCGUUGUGGCGCAGCAUUUAUGGAUGAUCUCUGAAGAGGUAGAGCACUGUUUCAGUGCGGGCCUGUCAAAAGGUACCAAAUUGUGGCAAACUCCAAAUUCUUCAGAUACCAUAACAUAAUCCAAAUCCAUAAAAAGUGAGACCCUGGGGGAUAAGCUCCAGGGUCGAGAGGGAAACAGCCCAGACCAUCAGUUAAGGCCCCUAAAUAAUGGCUAAGUGUUAAAGGAGGUUUCGAUGCUGAAACAACCAGAAGGUUCGCUUAGAAGCAGCUAUCCUUGAAAGAAUGCGUAAUAGCUCACUGGUUAUUUCUUGAUUCAAGAAUAAGCGUCGAUGCGCCGAAAAUGUCCGGGACUAAGCUUUUUGCCGAAACUAUGGCCCCAUUGAAGGGGGGUAGGGGAGCGUUCUGUUUUGAGGUGAAGGAUUUUUGAAAAAAAAUGAUAGAUCAAACAGAAGUGAGAAUGUCGGCUUGAGUAACGAAAACAUUAGUGAGAAUCUAAUGCCCCGAAAACCUAAGGUUUCCUCUUCAAGGCUCGUCCAGAGAGGGUUAGUCAGGACCUAAGAUUAGGCUGAAAAGCGUCAUCGAUGGGAAACAGGUCAAUAUUCCUGUACUUAAGUUUAAUAAAAAGACAAGGGACGAAGGCAACAAGUUCAAGCUCCCCAAAUGGUUCAGAGCGGAAAUGUUCGACAUAUAGUUCGAAAAAAAAGUCGAACUUUGGGCAGUGUAUCUUGAUAUUGGUUUCCAGUUAUUUUUGUGCAGUCUAGGUGGGACCCUUCCCACUGCGAGGUGGACUAUGGGGCCAGUGAGAGACCACCCUUAAAUAACUAGGAAUCUUAAAGUGAUUCCUUGAAGCAGGACACUUGACAGUGUCUGGAGGGCAGUUUUUUUGGGGCGAAAAUCUCCCAAAAGGUAACGGAGAUUUGCAAAGGUUUCCUCAAACUGGACGGAAAUCAGUUGUUGAGUGUAAAGGCAAAAGGAAGCUUGACUGCAAGACUUAUAAGUCGAGCAGAGGCGAAAGCCGGCCUUAAUGAUCCGACGGUGAAGCAUACUGCGUCCUUGUGGAAGGGCCGUCGCGCAAAAGAUAAAAGUUACUCCGGGGAUAACAGGCUUAUCUUCCCCAAGAGUUCACAUCGACGGGAAGGUUUGGCACCUCGAUGUCGGCAAUUCGCAACCUGGGGCAGUAGGUUGUCCCAAGGGUUGGGCUGUUCGCCCAUUAAAGCGGAACUUGAGCUGGGUAGACAGUUUGGUCUAUAUACGAUGUAAGCGUUAGAAUAUUGAGAGGACUUUUCCAUAAUACGAGAGGACUUGGAAGAACGUACCCCUGGUGUACCAGUUCUUAUACCAAUAGGACCCGCUGGGUAGCUAUGUACGGAAAAGAGAACUGCUGAAAGCAUCUAAGUAGGAAACUUACCUCAAGAUGAAUAUUCUCCAUUAGACUCCGGUGAGAUGAACCGGUGAAUAGGUUUUAGGUCGAAGAUUUGUAAAAAUUGGAGCCAAGAAAUACUAAUGAUCAAUUGUUUUUGAU
RNAcentral lists this ribosomal RNA (2410 nucleotides) under Caulerpa lentillifera. RNAcentral's name for it is "large subunit ribosomal RNA". It matches the Rfam family "Bacterial large subunit ribosomal RNA". Lineage: Eukaryota; Viridiplantae; Chlorophyta; Ulvophyceae; Bryopsidales; Caulerpaceae. The record is from RNAcentral.